CACGUAGGCGGAUAGGUCAGUCAGAUGUGAAAGCCCGGAGCUUAACUCCGGAACUGCAUUUGAUACUACUUGUCUUGAGUAUGGUAGAGGGGGGUGGAAUUCCCGGUGUAGAGGUGAAAUUCGUAGAUAUCGGGAGGAACACCAGAGGCGAAGGCGACCCCCUGGGCCAUAACUGACGCUGAGGUGCGAAAGCGUGGGGAGCAAACAG
Molecule: ribosomal RNA, 208 nt
Filed under: uncultured Pseudomonadota bacterium
Lineage: Bacteria; Pseudomonadati; Pseudomonadota
Description: uncultured proteobacterium partial 16S ribosomal RNA
Rfam family: Bacterial small subunit ribosomal RNA
Source: RNAcentral